UGGAAAGACGAGGAUCAAAAUCGUCCCCUUUAAAUCCCAGCAUAUGAACCGGACACAGGACUGCCACAGAACAUCUUCCUCGAUUGCCAUGGAGACCAAGAUGAAGAUGAUCUGCUUCCCUCUCUGCCUGCUGCUGCUCACCGCUUGUUGCUUUGAUGCAUCGCGUGAGCCGCCUUUACUUUAGUUGACCUGCACGGUCAUCUCAGUUUAUUUUCAUUUCCAUAAAACACAAGAUAAGAUCCAAAACCAUUAUGUACAUUAAAGCAUUCUGUUUAGAAUAACCCAGUCACUGGCAAGUUUGAGUCUCACUUUUAGUUUGGGUACCUGGAAUUAGGCAACAUGGUACAUUUCUUGUAUUUUUGAAGCAUCUUAAGAGUUUGAAAUUCACCCGGUCAUUCUCACAAGCAGUGCAGCAUGACUUUGAGGAAUCUACGAUCUGCUGUUUCAAAUUCCACAAUCUUCAACCGCCGUUGGGACGAGUGGUCAAUGUCACGAAGACUCAUGCAUGUCGCAUUCAAGGGUUUAUAAUUGAGACUCCAAAAAAUAUUUCUGUAUCAGGACGAGUCCCGAUUGUAUUCGGUGGGGGAGCCGCCACUAGUGUGUGAAUGGGUCUGUGACUGUAAAGUGCUUUGGGCCUUCAAAUAAAGUAGAAAAGCGCUAUAUAAGUAUACUCCAUUAUAUGACAUUUGGGGUCAGAAUCUCUUCAAUCGCUGCCAAAGCUAGGACAAUAUCCGGGAUGAAGCUUUGCAGCACUGAAGAUCUACAGCAAGACUGUCUCUUCAGGAGUUAUUUUCUUUAGUCACUUCAUGUCAUUUACAUAAAAUGAACAACAUCUUUAAGAAUUUUUUUGUGCUUAUCUGUUGGAACAAACAUUUUAAUGUAAAAACAAUAAAAAUUGGCACAUUUUGAAGGGGUUAACUCCAAGAAGUAUCA
Molecule: non-coding RNA, 933 nt
Organism: Oryzias latipes (Japanese medaka)
Lineage: Eukaryota; Metazoa; Chordata; Actinopteri; Beloniformes; Adrianichthyidae
Source: RefSeq, a predicted model, not a curated record